This 21163-nucleotide long non-coding RNA is filed under the name Malus domestica (apple). Its description in RNAcentral is "long non-coding RNA (MDOM_LNC011623)". Lineage: Eukaryota; Viridiplantae; Streptophyta; Magnoliopsida; Rosales; Rosaceae. The record is from RNAcentral.
CCCCCUCUAAUUUUUCUAAUUUUUUUUUCUUUAUUUGAAUUUUUGGGACUUAUAUUGAAUUUUAAUGUGUCUCACAACCUGAAGGGAUUGGGAGGGAGGGUCAUUUCAUUUUUGGAUAUAGAACGAAUAGGUUCAGGAGAUGAGAGAAUUAAGGAUACGCACCAGAAAGACUAUCCAAUGCAUAAUGAUGUGCCAAAAAAUAGAACAUUUUUGUUACCCAACCAACCUUUAGGAGAAGCAAAUGCGACACGUAGACUAAUAGUAAAAUUAAAGAAGUAGCAUUUAAUGUAAAAAUAGCCAAUAGGAAAGCAAUAGUCAUGUUUCUAAUCCUCCAAUCUACCAACAAAAGAAUUAUACCAUUUGAUCCCUUUAUCAACCAAAAAAUUGUACACCUUAUGUACUACUUUGGGUAACCCUCUCAACAACUAAGAGAUCCAUUCGCUGAACAAGGCGACUAGUUGAAGUACGGAUCCUCCCAAUAUUGGGAGUAUCCGUACUUCAAUUGAGCUGAUGACAAAUCAUUUCACCAUUUUAGUUGGAACUUUAGGUGGUUCUCAAAAAAAGAUAGCGAAAAAAAUUAUUCCUAAAGUUUAGACUAAAAGGAAUGUAUAAACCAAUGCUUCCAUAUAUUCGAUCGUGGUUUACAAUUAUAUCUUCCAUACCUGUUUAUUUGGGAUCGUCUCCCAGGUAAAUAAAGAACAAGAGUAAAAGAAAAGGCAGUGAUUCAAAUCUAGAUUUAUCUGGUACCCUAUCUAAAAAUCACAAGAAGAAAAUAAAAAAGAAAAGUAACAAGUAACAAAACAUAUUGUAUCAGACUACUUGUCUUCUUGUAGUUGGAUCUCCAAGCUUUUGGAAUGCUCCGAAUUCCAGUUGAGCAUCUAAAUCUGGAUCAAUACCAGCAAAAACAUCUCGAAACAAGGUUCUAGCUCCAUGCCAAAUGGAUUUAGUUUUUGUCCCAUAAUCCCCCACUACUAUAUAUAUCGUGCAACGUGACAUUUGUCUGUAUAUAUUUUUUUAUUCAUUCGAUUUUUUUUUAAGCAUAACAUAAUAUAGCGUAUUUGUAUAAUUUAUAAUAUAAAAUAUUCUUCCUUUAAGCAUUCCUUAGCUCUGAUUUAUUGAAUUUCCUUUUAUCUAUUUCUUCAUCUUCAUCGAAAGAUAUAUCUUUCAAUGUUUAUGUUAUUUUAUAGGUUAAUAGGUUAUUUAUCAUUGUCAUAUUCCCCAAAGUUUAUGUUUUGGACUGUUUAAAUUGUUCUAGUUAACGUAGCUAUGAUCCUAUCAGUUUUGGCUCAUUAUGUAUGGAUUCGAAAGGAACAACGAGAUUUACAAAAGUAAAUGAGCACAUGGGGAUUUGGAAAAGUAUUUACGUCUAAAUAGAUAAAAUAUAGAUUUAAGAGCUUUAGGAAAAUUUGAUAUUUGUUGUUUGUAACAUACUUCGUCCAUCCCAAAGUUACCGAGCACCGGUCAACUCUGUACCUUCAAGGACCCACUGAAGAUUUGAUGUGGAGGCACUCUUGCCAAAGCACACGAGUUCCUCUCCAAUAAAAAGACCAAUCACAAAACGACACAUGUCAACAUCAGAAUAAAGCUCCUAGAUUCCCAGAUCAAUUGUGGACAGGACCCGAAAACUUUCCGCAUCUUUAAAAGGAGAUUGUUCUCUUGCAAUUAAUUUCUAAUGUCUUUAUUGUACUUAAACUCGUCAUUAGAACUCACUAAUGAUGAUUAUGCUUAAACCUAUGUAUUGUGUAAACUCUUCACUAUUAAUAAGAACUCAUAUACCCUCAUGGACGUAACCUAUCUUAGGUUGAACCACAUACAUCUUGUGUUUGCUUCCCUACCUCUAUCUUUUUACAUAUUAUCCUCACCAGGUGACCAGACCAACCUUGCGAAGGUCACAACCUUGUCACUUAACGUUGUUCCAAAGUCUAACUGAUUUUGCGUAUCAACAUUUGACACCGUUUGUGGGAACGACACUAAUUCCUACUCUCACCAGCUUUGUCAGACUGGUUUCUCUUUGAUAAGGCAUCGCUCUCCAACAUGGGGAGUGAAGGAAAACACAGCAUGCAGAAAAACACCCCUUGCAUGCCUAGUGUGAGGCCGCGAAUGAGGGAAAGGAACAAGCCUGUUCUUCAAACUAAAGUCCAAGAGGUUAGAACUCAAAAUAAAAUAGAAAAAAUGGCGAUACGGAAUGAUAUCCUCCAACAGCAGUAUGUGAAGCUCUUCGAGAUGUUUUACGAGGCUAUACAGACUCAGUCUCAAGAGUCAUUGCCCUCUUGACAGCGGAUCAACACAUAGGUACCUACGCGAAGUUUCACAUGUCUUCAACACGGGGAUUCUUAAUAAGGACUGGCCUUCUACCCAAGAUAUUGAUCAACACGAGACUUCUCUUAACCCAGCUGCUUCAAAUUGAAACAAGAUAAGUGGAAGAGGACAUCUCCUUGCAAAGGAUUGGAAUGAUCAAAACCUGGUUAUCGCGACUGUCAAGACCUCUUGAGGCAUCGUCGAGAAAAACCUAUCCAUAUAGACUCAAGGAUCAUUGACCCAAAGGUCAUCGAAGGAAUCAGUCCGUUACCAUAACCAAGGUCAACUACUAACCUAAGGAAGAAACGACAAGACUUAGAUGGACAAGAAGGUGUUUGAGUCUCGAGGAACUUCCAACCGGAAUUUCCUUGAAGCAAGUAUGGUAAUCCAAAAAAAAGUCACAUACUCUUGACUAAACUUCUCCACUUCCAAGAAAUGAUGGAAACUUACGAAUGAGGGUUCCAAUAGUCCCUGACUCCAUUCAAGACCCCAUUAUCCUGCAGUUUUUUGAGGAAGUGAACAGACUAAAGGCCAAACGCCAUGCCAAGGUACCUGACUGGAAUUAGCCGAAGCCAGGCCCUCUGACAAGAAGGAUCUUUGGCACCCCUCUACAAGGAGAAACAAAAUAGACGAUUGGUUUACUAUCAUAAAUUUUGGGGGGGGGGGGGGGGGGAAGAUCCAAUUGAGCAUAUCCAUCUCUUUGAAUCCACCAUGGUAUACCGAGGCAUAGUAAUGAAGAACGAUGUCUCAUUUUUCCCUUCAUUCUAUCUGUGGGAGCUCUCAAUUAGUAUUGUUGUCUUCAACCUGAUACAAUAGAUUAUUUCACCAAGCUUAAGAGACUUUUUGUGGUGCAACGCAUCUUCUAGGCUGAUUGCUUACACUCCGCUAAACAUUUAUACACCAUUCGUCAGAAGUCAAACUAGUCAUUAUGUGAAUAUGCCCGUAGCUUCAGCCACAAGUAUUCUCUUGCGUUGUGGUAGAUUAUAAAACAACAAUAAGUGUCAACAUACACUUUUUCCAUUCGACAUGUGUUACAAUGUGCCUCGACAACUCGUCAUUAUUCUCACCCACUUGGUUAUGAAGGAACUCAUAUUCGUAUCACUAACCAAGUGAUAAUUUUUUCCUUUGGCAACUUACCACCCUUUCCACCAACUAGGUAAUGAAAGAACUCACCUUUGUCCACUAACUAGGUGAUGGAAAGUACAACCAGUACUCCACUCUUUUCACUAACCGGGUAAUAAAGGAACUCACCUUGUAUCACCUUGCAGUAUGAAGCGUUAUUAAGAUCUCCUUCAACUGUGCCAGAAUGUCAAACAUUGUAGUAUAUACAAGGAGACCGAAGACUCUCAUCAACUAUAAAAGGAGAUCGUUCUCGUACAAUUAAUUCCUAAUAUCAUUAUUGUGCUUAAACUCGUCAUUAGGACUCACUAAUGAUGAUUAUGCUUAAACUUAUGUCUUGUGUAAAAUCUUCAUUAUUAAUGAAGACUCUUCUACCCUCGUGGACGUAACCCAAUUCAAGGUGAACCACAUACAUCUUGUGUUGCUUUCCUACCUCUAUCUAUUUAAUUAUGAUCCUCAACAGGUGACCGGAGCAACCUUGUGAAGGUUACAAACUUGGCACUUUACGUUGUUCGAAUGUCUCACUGAUUUUGUGCAUCAACAUUUGUAAAUAAUUUGCUACAAGCAAUUGAGCCUGCGCGAUUUGUUUUAAAACUGUGUUAAACAGGUGGAAUAUAUUAAAAUCCAUUAGAAUCCUUCUGCUUAACAAAGAAUAAAAAAAAUAGAUGUUUGUAGUAUAUAGCAAAAGUUUUAAAACUCAUUAAUUCUUCUUUCUACGUAAAUUUGACAAAUACGUACAAUCCAAUCUUCAACCAAUUCAAGCGUAUACUUUUUCUUUUGUUGUAUCAAAUUUGUCAUGUCACCCAAGGUCAAAUGGAAAGCCAGCUAACUGAAAACAUUUGUGUUAAGUUGUGCAAAAAGUUGAGUACGCUUUAAUUGAAAACAUAACCACUAAUACAAUUAGGCAAGAAGGGGAAGGAGAUAAUCAUGAGGAGCUAGAAAUAUUUUGACUUCAACAAGAAGAUAUUGACAAGGUUUUACAUACGUACUAGCAAGCUCCAAGUUGUGGUAUCAACUCCAAAAACAAAAAUCGUACUUGGGCAACAUCCAAAAAAACAUGAGUAAAGAAUUUUUGAAGUCUUUUUUCUUCAAUGACUCGGGAAAUAUAAGACGGCUCCUUCGGUAAUCCUCAUCAAUAAGAGACUUGGGGGACUCCCAUUAUAUGCUAAUACACUUUAGUACUCAAACGUUUCAUGAGUACUCACCAAUUUGGGUUCUACAAGUCCCCAACCGAGAAACUUUCCUCACUCGUGAACUUGGGGGACCACUGUUUGUUCCAUACUUCACCACCCCCAAAACUACUUAGCACCAAUCAACUUCAUACUUUCAAGGACCCACUAAAGAGUUCAUGUGGAGGCACCCUGGGCGAAGCACACGAGUUUUUCUCCAAUCAAGAGACCAAUCACAACACGACACGUGUCAACCUAAAAAUAUAACUCCUAAAGUCCCACAUCAACCAGGGACGGGAGCCAAAGACCCUCAUCAACUAUACAAGGAGACCGUUCUUGUACAAUUAAUUCCUAAUGUCAUUAUUGUGAUUAAACUCGUCAUUAGAACUCACUAAUGAUGAUUAUGCUUAAACUUAUGUCUUGUGUAAAAUCUUCACUAUUAAUGAGGACUCCUCUACCCUCGUGGAUGUAGCCAAAGUUAAGUUGAACCACGUACAUCUUGUGUUGCUUCCCUACCUCUAUCUCUUUACAUAUUAUCCUUACUAGGUGAUGCAGCAAACUUGAGAUGGUUACAAACUUCACACUUUACGUCGUUCCAAAGUCUCAAUGAUUUUGUGCAUCAACUUUUGUAAAUAGUUUCUUACAAGCAAUUGAGCCCGCGCGAUGCCACGAGUUUUAAAACUAUGUUAAACAGGUGGAAUAUAUUAAAAUCUAUUAGCAUCCUUAUGUUCAACAAAGAAUAAAAAAAUAGACGUUUGUAAUAAAUAGCAAAAGUUUUGAAACUCUUUAGUAAUUCUAAGUAAAUUUGACAAAUACGUACAAUCCAAUCUUUGACCAAUUCAAGCGUAUACUUUUUUUUUGCUUCAAUCAAAUUUGUCAUGUCACCCAAGGUCAUAUGCAAAGUCAGCUAACUGAAAACAUUUGGGUUAAGUUGUGCAGAAAGUUGAGUACGCUUUAAUUGAAAAAAAAAUCACUAAUACAAUUAGGCAAGAAGGAGAAGGAGAUAAUCUUGAGGAGCUAGAAAUAUUUUGACUUCAACAAGAAGAUAUUGACAAGGUUUUACAUAUGUACCCGUAAGCUCCAAGUUGUGGUAUCAACUCCGAAAAAAAAAAAUGGUCCCGAAUAACAGUAUAGAAAUGUUUUAGUCCAUCUUAAACUUUUUUUUUUGUGGCCUUGCUUAUUAUUGUACUUAUUAACAAUUACUACUAUGUCGAGGCGAGUUUCUUUACAACAGGACCAAGAAAAAUAAUAACUUAUUACAAUGUGGUAUUUAUUCCUGAACCCCAACUGGGACCGAAACUGUUUAUGACUAUAAAUAAGUUAUUCCUUUAUAUAGAGAUGUUUUACUGUAGCAUUCACAUGUCUUAUUAUUGAAUUAUUGAAUCUCAAAGAAUACUUACAUUAUUGAAAGGAAAUACAAAUGCAAAAGGAAUUGAAAUACAAAUACAUAAAAAGGAAAAUUAUCCACUUAAAUGUGUUUAUAAUCAACAAUAAAUUUCUUUUAAUUUCUUCAAUUCUUCUUAAGCAAAUUUUUGAACCAAUGUGCUGAGAGUUUUGGGUGUCUUUUCAGCCCAUCAUUAUAAUCCACGUAGUUUUAAACCAAAUCGGACGGUGUAUCCAGAAUUCCAUUCAAAGUCGUCCAACAAUGUCCAUGGAAAGUAUCCCUUCACUUUCGCACCAUUUCUGCACACACACACAUACACCAAUGUUCAAAUGGAUUAGGUCAAUAUAAUGAUUAAAUAACAAUAACUUAAGAAGGCUAGGCAGUAUAUAACCUUAAUUAAUUUGUUAAUAACUACUUACUUGAUCGCCGCUUGAAGGUAACAUAGGUGACGGUAGUGGUAGUCAAUUCUACCGGUAUCAAAGAAGAGCCUCUUCAAUUGAUAGUUCUGGAUUAUUCAACUCUGAUACACCUACGUACAUAUAUUAUUGCACAAAAAAUUAAAAUUAAGUUUUUUCCUCUAAAAAUAUAAAAAAAACAUGCAGUUCCAGUUUAACGCCAUUAUAAAUAUGUGAAACUUUUGCAAUUAAUCAAGGCUUAAAAGUACGAAUUACAUACCAUUCUCAGUAAUAUAAAUGAGUGGAUCAUUAUAUUUUUCCUUUGUGUAGAGCACAAGAUCGUGAAUUCCUUUUGGAUAUACAUAUAACCAAUCUAAAGCAGUCUGCAACACCAUUUCAAGAUAAUACGUAAAUGUUGGGGAAAAAAGCUAAUCCUCCAAAUGCAAAUAGCUCAAAAUGAUAAAUUUGAUGUAUACCUGUGGACCAAUAAGUACUACUCCAUUAAGCUCAGCUGCCACAAUAUUUACAAACAUUAGAAUACAAUUGGUGUAAAUAUUAGAAUAUAAUUAAUGUAAUUAAGAGGUUAAACUAGGUCAAGAAGAAACGAGAACUGAAGCUAUUCAAAGUAAGUUUCCUUUGGCACUCACUUGUAAGAUCAGCUUGAGGAUCUGUUACGAAGCUUGCCUGUAGUGAAUUGUUCUUAGGUGUACUAGUUGCGUAUCUAGCAGUAUAAUAAUUUAUUCCAAGAAAAUCAAAUGAUGAUCCGUUUAGCAACUUGGAUUGUUCUUUUGUGAAUUUUGGCAAUCUUUUUCCAACAAUUGAUCGCAUGCUGUGUGGAUAGUCACCACUUGUUAAAGGGUCCAAAAACCUACAAAACAAGAAAAUUCCAAAUAUUAGCCUAAUUAUAGCAUUAUAGAUAAAUAGUACUGCUAGCUAGUAGUAGUAAUGUAGUAUCAAAGUAUAAGUCAUAAGUAUACAUGAUGUAAUUGGGUUUAUGUAUAAUUUAAUAAGACACUUGCCAUCCAAACAUAAAAUCCAAAGAUCGUAAGGCAGCAUCUUUAUCUUGCUUUGACUCCGAAGCAGGCUCAAACCAGUAUGACACCAAUGUUAUCCCUAUCAAGCCUUUCUGAGAUGCCUACACAAAAAUAUGAAUUUUGGUUGAAUAAAUAGGAGUUAUAGAAAAAGAUACAACCUUUAGAUUAUCUUACUACUGAGAGUAUUCCCUCUUGUAUUACAACUCAAUAAUAAAGAUUCAUAUAGAAUUCUCGAUUAGGAGCCAAUAAUCUAACCCCAAAAAAAAAAUAAAAAAAAAUAAAAAAACAGUUAUUGAACCUGAUAUCUAUUCUUGUACAAUUCUACAGCUGCUCCAUGAGCAAGAAGAAUGUGGUGUGUCACCAAGUAUGGUUCAAUGGCUGAAUCUCCACCGGUGCAGUUUAGGUUUUGCCAAGAAGAGCAGCGUCCCGGUGCUAGAGUCCCAACAGCAUAACCCAUGCUACUAAAAGUAUAUGGCUCAUUUACCGUGAACCAGUGCUUGACACGAUCACCAAAUUCCUUAUAACAAAGUUCUGCAUAGUCUUUAAAAUGAUCGCUGCAGAUACAAAUUUAUGUUAAGUAUAUCAGUACGUAUUUUAUCAAAUUAUCAACGAGAAAAUAAAUUUUGUUCACUUACACAAUACGAGGGCUUAAGAAACCACCAUAUUCAUCUUCUAAAGCUUGGGGAACAUCCCAAUGAAAGAGUGUUACAAACGGCUUUAAACCUAUAAUACAUGAUCAGUAAAAUCAAAUUAAAAGUCUGAUUGAAUGAUGUUCUAAAAAUUCAUGUAAUAAUUGUUUAAGGUAGGAUAAUUAACCAUUGCGUAGGAGUUCAUUGAUGAGAUUGUUGUAAUAAUCAAUUCCUUUCCUGUUAACGCCACCACUUAACGUUCCAUCUAAUUAGAACAAAAAUAACAAGAAAAAAAAGGGUUACCCAGUAGAUAACUCGAUCACAUUACUUUAGUUUAAAUAGUAUAUAAAAGAGAAUAAUUUUUCUUGUAGGAAAAAUAAUUCUUAUGCACAAUAUUGUCAUUGGUCCCAACCAAAAAUGAGGACGUCGAGCAACUUACUUGGUAAUAAUCUGGACCAUGAAAUAGAUAAUCUGUAAGCAUCCAAAUUCAUAUCCUUCAUAAUCCCCACAUCUUCCUAGAAUGACAAAAGUUUAAAAUUAAAUAUUGAGGAUCUCAUUAUAUAUUGUUCUUUUUUUUUUUUUUUUUUUGUAAAGGCUCCAAUUUAUAAUGUUAACAUGUGCCCUUCAAGUAUAAAGGGUCGAGAGACAAAGUUAUGAGGUUUUAGACCUUAUAGCGGUGAUAUUGAUCUAUAGCGACAUCUCCGUUACUGCCAUCAUCGAUUUUUUCUGCAAUUAUUAAAAAACAUAAUGGUGAAAUCCAUAUCAUGUGCAAAGUACUUUAUAUGCGUGCGCACUGAUGAAGUAUAUACAUAUAUUGUACAUAUCACAUGACCACGUACUGUUGGUCUCCCAACAAAGUGCAUGGCUGUUAGAGAGGUUGGAGUUUACUUGUCCUCACGAAGAAAAGAAUGAGGUGCUAUUUCUACUCCUUUGAAAUGAAGUAGCAAAAGUUUUCAUAUUACCAAUUGAUUAAAUCACAGACCUGGAUGUUUGUGGGUGAAGGUAUCCCAUAUGCUUGGUCCUCUUCCAUCUUCUUUUACUGCACCUUCAUACUGAAAUACACACACAUGCAUAUACGUAAGAGUACUACUACACACGCAAGGAAGAUGACAACAUUAUAAUUCAUGCAUGGAUGCUAGCUGCAUGUAUAAAAUACACCAAAAAUGUGGUAAAUAAAGACAGAAGAUAUAUAUAUACUGACCUGGUAAGAUGCAGAACCUGUGCCAAAUAUGAACCCUGGUUCAAAACUGCUGCGAUUGAGAAAUUCGCAAUGAACAGGUGGAUCUGUAUUAGUUGCUUUGCCAUUUGUCAAUGCAAAGCCAAUGAGUAGCAGCACACCAAAGAGCAAAGAUCGUGAAUAUUUCAUUGCCAUAACUUGGGAGUUUUGAUAUCGAUCGAGAUAAUUAAGUUAUCUCCUCCGGGAAUAUUGCAUGGGGUUUAUAUAGAGAAAGGGAGGAAAGGGAUAUGGUGUCUACGUACUAGCUCAUGAGAAUAAUAAAGGGUUAAAAUUUGUAAACAAAAUUGGCUUUGAAAGUCCUAGUUUAAAGACCAAGUCAAGGUAUAUUUCAAAAAAAAACAAAAGACCAAGUCAUGGUGUGUAGUUUAAAAGAAAGCACGUUUCAUGUACCCAAAAGUUGCGUAUUACGUACGUUAAAAAGAAUGGAUGAUCCUUGCGUUCCACCUAUGAGGAAUGAACAUAUUCUACAAAUUUUAUAUUGUGAUCGUUUCAGUUUCUUAAUCUUUAUUUCAAAAUCAUCAAAACAAAAACAAUUAUUUGAAUCUGAGAUCGUUUAGUCAUUUAAAUAUAUGAACCCAAUUGACAGUGUCGACACUAAGUAAAAGAUUUUAUAACGAACUAUUCAUUUUUAUUGAUACAUUUGGAUGACUAAAACAGUCUUCAAUUUGGAAUAGUUUUUUGUAUAUAUGAUAUUCAAAUUAAGAUUAAGAAAUUAAUAACUGAUACUACAAAAAUACACUUUAUUUAUUAAAAAAAAAUAUUCCUUGAGUUGAAAAGUAAGAUAAUGUACACAACAGUUCGAUCGAUCUCAUCUUAAUUUGAAAUGAUCAAUCCUUGAGUUACCCUUGAGUUUUCCAGCAAAAGAAAAUGUUUUUCUGUAUUCGGAAACAAAGAGUCAUUUAUCUGCAUGUUUAUAUUAUGUCUGUCCAACUGUUGAAGGGCAUAACUUUUGAAGUUGAAUAUGGACGAUUAGCUACAGAGACUUAUUCAAACUAUAGAAAACUAUUUGACACCAAACAAAAAAGUAGAAAUUUAUGACCAGAAUUCUUUACGUAAGUACAUAAUCGAUAAAGAUGAAGAAUUUAAUCUUGAUCUUUUACUUCUUGUUAGAGUUUUAAUGUUGAAUCCGUGAACCCAGUGGUUUUGUGAAAUUGUUUUUCCACGCAAAUUAAGAAGGCAUCGAAAUAGCUAGGUUCUCAAAUUGGCUAUUUCGCUCCUAAAGAUUGUGAAAGGAUACCAUUGGGGUGGCUUCUUCUUGGUAGUACAAGAAAUUGAUUAGCUGUUUCAAGAAAACAGGUUUUUUAUUAGCUUACAUCUAUUUAUUUUGAUUUAAUAUUUUUUUACAAUUCAAAAACACAAAAAUUUUGACCCCCCCUCUAAUUUUUCUAAUUUUUUUCUUUAUUUGAAUUUUUGGGACUUAUAUUGAAUUUUAAUGUGUAUCACAACCUGAAGGGAUUGGGAGGGAGGGUCAUUUCAUUUUUGGAUAUAGAACGAAUAGGUUCAGGAGAUGAGAGAAUUAAGGAUACGCACCAGAAAGACUAAUCCAAUGCAUAAUGAUGUGCCGAAAAAUAGAACAUUUUUGUUACCCCGACCAACCCUUAGGAGAAGCAAAUGCGACACGUAGACUAAUCAGUAAAAUUAAAGAAGUAGCAUUUAAUGCAAAAAUAGCCAAUAGGAAAGCAAUAGUCAUGUUUCUAAUCCUCCAAUCUACCAACAAAAGAAUUAUACCAUUUGAUCCCUUUAUCAACCAAAAAAUUGUACGCCUUAUAUACUGCUUUUGGGUAACCCUUCUCAACAACUAAGAGAUCCAUUCGCUGAACAAGGGGACUAGUUGAAGUACGGAUCCUCCCAAUAUUGGGAGGAUCCGUACUUCAAUUGAGCUAAUGACAAAUCAUUUCACCAUUUUAGUUGGAACUUUAGGCGGUUCUCGAAAAAAGAUAGCGAAAAAAAAUUAUUCCUAAGAGUUUGAGACUAAAAGGAAUGUAUAAACCAAUGCUUCCAUAGAUUCGAUCGUGGUUUACAAUUAUAGCUUCCAUACCUGUUUAUUUGGGAUCGUCUCCCGGAUAAAUAAAGAACAAGAGUCAAAGAAAAGGCAGUGAUUCAAAUCUAGAUUUAUCUGGUACCCCCCAUCUAAAAAUCACAAAAAGAAAAUAAAAAAGAAAAGUAACAAGUAACAAAACAUAUUGUAUCAGACUACUUGUCUUCUUGUAGUUGGAUCUCCAAGCUUUUGGAAUGCUCCGAAUUCCAGUUGAGCAUCUAAAUCUGGAUCAAUACCAGCAAAAAACAUCUCGAAACAAGGUUCUAGCUCCAUGCCAAAUGGAUUUAUUUUUUGUCCCAUAAUCCCCCACUACUAUAUAUAUCGUGCAACGUGACAUCUGUCUGUAUGUUUUUUUUAUUCAUUCGAUUUUUUUUUAAGCAUAACAUAAUAUAGCGUAUUUGUAUAAUUUAUAAUAUAAAAUAUUCUUCCUUUAAGCAUUCCUUAGCUCUGAUUUAUUGAAUUUCCUUUUAUCUAUUUCUUCAUCUUCAUCGAAACAUAUAUCUUUCAAUGCAAUAGUUAUAUGACAAGUAGAUCUUUUUGUAGGAUAACCCCAUCCUCGAGCCAGGGGCUUUCAUUUUUUCACAGUUGCGUGUUACAGAUAACACCAGCCACAAGGACCACUCUUGUGUUAUAACUAAUAUAAGAUAAAAUUAGGUAAUGCAAUAAAAUUAAAGAAGGGAGCGACGUUGAAUUAAGAAAAAUGAUUGAAGAAUUGUUAUUUUAUAGGUUAAUAGGUUAUUUAUCAUUGUCAUAUUCCCCAAAGUUUAUGUUUUGGACUGUUUAAAAUGUUCUAGUUAACGUAGCAAUGAUCCUGUCAGUUUUGGCUCAUUAUGUAUGGAUUCGAAGGGAACAACGAGACUUACAAAAGUAAAUGAGCACAUGGGGAUUUGGCAAAGUAAUCACGUCUAAAUAGACAAAAUAUAGAUUUAAGAGCUUUAGGAAAAUUGGAUAUUUGUUGUUUGUACCAUACUUCGUCACUCCCGAAACUACCGAGCACCGGUCAACUAUGUACCUUCAAGGAUCCACUAAAGAGUUAACGUGGAGACACCCUUGCCAAAGCACACGAGUUCCUCUCCAAUCAAGAGACCAAUAAAAAAACGACACAUGUCAACGUCAGAAUAAAGCUCCUAGAGACCCAGAUCAAUUGUGGACAGGAUCCGAAAACUUUCCUCAUCUAUAAAAGGAGACCGUUCUCCUGCAAUUAAUCUGUAAUGUCAUUAUUGUACUUAAACUCGUCAUUAGAACUCACUAAUGAUGAUUAUGCUUAAACCUAUGUAUUGUGUAAACUCUUCACUAUUAAUAAGAACUCAUAUACCCGCAUGGACGUAACCUAACUUAGGUUGAACCACGUACAUCUUGUGUUUGCUUCCCUACCUCUAUCUUUUUACAUAUUAUCCUCACAAGGUGACCAAAGCAACCUUGCGAAGGUCAUAAACUUGUCACUUAACGUUGUUCCAAAGUCUAACUGAUUUUGCGUAUCAACAUUUGGCACCGUUUGUGGGAACGACACUGAUUCCUACUCUUACCAGCUUUGUCAGACUGGUUUCUAUUUGAUAAAGCGUCGUUCUCCAACAUGGGGAGUGAAGGAAGGCACAACAUGCAGAAAAACACCAUUUGCAUGCCUAGUGUGAGGCAGCGAAUGAGGGAAAGGAACAAGCCUGUUCUUCAAACUAAAGUCCAAGAGGUUAGAACUCAGAAUAAAAGAAAAUGGUGAUAUGGAAUGAGAUCCUCCAAGAACAGUAUGUGAAGCUCUUCGAGAUGCUUCACAAAGCUAUACCGACUCAAUCUCAAGAGUCAUUGCCUUCAUGACAGCGGAUCAACACAUAGGUACCCACGCAAAGUUUCACAUGUCUUCUUAAUAAGGAAUGGCCUUCUACCCAAGAUAUUGAUCAACACGAGACUUCUCUCAACCCAGCUGCUUCAAACCAAAACAAGAUAAUUGGAAGACGACAUCUCCUUGCAACAGGAUUGGAAUGAUCAAAAGCUGGUUAUCGCGACUGUCAAGACCUCUUGAGGCAUCGUAAAAAAAAACCUAUCCAUAUAGACUCAAGGAUCAUUGACCCCAAUGGUCAUCGAAUGAAUCAAUCCCUUACCAUAACCAAGGUCAACUACUAACCUAAGGAAGAAACGACAAGACUUAGAGGGACAAGAAGGUGUUUGGGUCUCGAGGAACUUCUAACCGGAAUUUCCUUGAAGCCAAUAUGGUGAAUCCAAAAAAAAGUCACAUACUCUUGACCAAACUUCUCCACUUCCAAGAAAUGAUGGAAACUUACGAAGCAGGGUUCCAGUAGUGCCUGACUCCACUUAGGACCCCCUUAUCCUACAGUUUUUUGAGGAAGUGAACAGACUAAAGGCCAAACGCCAUGCCAAGGUACCUAACUUGACGAGGCCAGGCCCUCUGACAAGAAGGAUCUUUGGCACCCCUCUAAAAGGAGAAACAAAACAGAAGAUUGGUUUGCUAUCGUAAAUUGGGAGGGAAGAUCCAAAUGAGCAUAUCCAUCUCUUUGAAUCCACCAUGGUAUACCGAGGCAUAGUAAUGAAGAACGAUGUCUCAUUUUCCCCUUCAUUCUAUCUGUGGGAGCUCUCAAUUAGUAUUGUCGUCUUCAACCUGAUAUAAUAGAUUCUUUCACUAAUCUUAAGAGACUUUUUGUGGUGCAACGCAUCUUCUAGGCUGAUUGCUUACACUCCGCCAAACAUUUAUACACCAUUCUUCAGAAGUCAAACUAGUCAUUGUGUGAAUAUGCCCGUAGCUUCAGCCACGAGCAUUCUUUUUGAACUGUGGUAGAUUAUAAACAACACUCAGGGCCUUCAGAAUAGGUGUCAACAUACACUUUUUCCCUUCAGCAUGUGUUACAAUGUGCCUCGACAACUCGUCAUUAUUCUCACCCACUUGGUUAUGAAGCAACUCAACUUCGUAUCACCAACCAGGUGAUAAUUUUUUCCUUUGGCAACUUACCACCCUUUCCACCAACUAGGUAAUGAAGGAACUUACCUUUGUCCACUAACUAAAUGAUGAAAAGUACAACCAGUGCUCCACUCUUUUCAGUAACCAAGUAAUGAAGGAACUCACCUUAUAUCACCAUGCAGUAUGAAUCGUUAUUAACAUCUCUUUCAACUGUACCAGAAGGUCAAACAUUGUAGUACAUACAAGGAGACCGAAGACUCUCAUCAACUAUAAAAGGAGACCGUUCUCGUACAAUUAAUUCCUAAUAUCAUUAUUGCGCUUAAACUCGUCAUUAGGACUCACUAAUGAUGAUUAUGCUUAAACUUAGGUCUUGUGUAAAAUCUUCACUAUUAAUGAGGACUCCUCUACCCUCGUGGACGUAACCCAAUUUAAGGUGAACCACAUACAUCUUGUGUUGCUUUCCUACCUCUAUCUCUUUAAUUAUGAUCCUCAACAGGUAACCGGAGCAACCUCGCGAAGGUUACAAACUUGACACUUUACGUUGUUCCAAUGUCUCACUGAUUUUGUGCAUCAACAUUUGUAAAUAAUUUGCUACAAGCAAUUGAGCCCGUGCGAUUUGUUUUAAAACUGUGUUAAAUAGGUGGAAUAUAUUAAAAUCUAUUAGCAUCCUUCUGUUCAACAAAGAAUAAAAAAAAUUGACGUUUGUAAUAUAUAGCAUAAGUUUUGAAACUCUUUAAUUCUUCUAAGUAAAUUUGACAAAUACGUACAAUCCAAUCUUCGACCAAUUCAAGCGUAUGCUUUUUCUUUUCUUCAAUCAAAUUUGUCAUGUCACCCAAGGUCGUAUGCAAAGUUAGCUAAUUGAAAACAUUUGCGUUAAGUUGUGCAGAAAGUUAAGUACGCUUUAAUUGAAAAAAAAAUCACUAAUACAAUUAGGCAAGAAGGAGAAGGAGAUAAUCGUGAGGAGCUAGAAAUAUUUUGACUUCAACAAGAAGAUAUUGACAAGGUUUUACAUACGUGCCCGUAAGCUCCAAGUUGUGGUAUCAACUCCGAAAAAAAAAAAUGGUCCCGAAUAACAGUAUAGAAAUGUUUUAGUCCAUCUUAAACUUUUUUUUUUGUGACCUUGCUUAUUAUUGUACUUAUUAACAAUUACUACUAUGUCGAGGCGAGUUUCUUUACAACAGGACCAAGAAAAAUAAUAACUUAUUACAAUGUGGUAUUUAUUCCUGAACCCCAACUGGGACCGAAACUGUUUAUGACUAUAAAUAAGUUAUUCCUUUAUAUAGAGAUGUUUUACUUUAGCAUUCACAUGUCUUAUUAUUGAAUUAUUGAAUCUCAAAGAAUACUUACAUUAUUGAAAGGAAAUACAAAUGCAAAAGGAAUUGAAAUACAAAUACAUAAAAAGGAAAAUUAUCCACUUAAAUGUUUAUAAUCAACAAUAAAUUUCUUUUAAUUUCUUCAAUUCUUCUUAAGCAAAUUUUUGAACCAAUGUGCUGAGAGUUUUGGGUGUCUUUUCAGCCCAUCAUUAUAAUCCACGUAGUUUAAACCAAAUCGGACGGUGUAUCCAGAAUUCCAUUCAAAGUCGUCCAACAAUGUCCAUGGAAAGUAUCCCUUCACUUUCGCACCAUUUCUGCACACACAUACACCAAUGUUCAAAUGGAUUAGGUCAAUAUAAUGAUUAAAUAACAAUAACUUAAGAAGGCUAGGCAGUAUAUAACCUUAAUUAAUUUGUUAAUAACUACUUACUUGAUCGCCGCUUGAAGGUAACAUAGGUGACGGUAGUGGUAGUCAAUUCUACCGGUAUCAAGAAGAGCCUCUUCAAUUGAUAGUUCUGGAUUAUUCAACUCUGAUACACCUACGUACAUAUUAUUGCACAAAAAAUUAAAUUUAGUUUUUUCCUCUAAAAAUAUAAAAAAAACAUGCAGUUCCAGUUUACGCCAUUAUAAAUAUGUGAAACUUUUGCAAUUAAUCAAGGCUUAAAAGUACGUAUUACAUACCAUUCUCAGUAAUAUAAAUGAGUGGAUCAUUAUAUUUUUCCUUUGUGUAGAGCACAAGAUCGUGAAUUCCUUUUGGAUAUACAUAUAACCAAUCUAAAGCAGUCUGCAACACCAUUUCAAGAUAAUACGUAAAUGUUGGGGAAAAAAGCUAAUCCUCCAAAUGCAAAUAGCUCAAAAUGAUAAAUUUGAUGUAUACCUGUGGACCAAUAAGUACUCCAUUAAGCUCAGCUGCCACAAUAUUUACAAACAUUAGAAUACAAUUGGUGUAAAUAUUAGAAUAUAAUUAAUGUAAUUAAGAGGUUAAACUAGGUCAAGAAGAACAAAGAACUGAAGCUAUUCAAAGUAAGUUUCCUUUGGCACUCACUUGUAAGAUCAGCUUGAGGAUCUGUUACGAAGCUUGCCUGUAGUGAAUUGUUCUUAGGUGUACUAGUUGCGUAUCUAGCAGUAUAAUAAUUUAUUCCAAGAAAAUCAAAUGAUCCGUUUAGCAACUUGGAUUGUUCUUUUGUGAAUUUUGGCAAUCUUUUUCCAACAAUUGAUCGCAUGCUGUGUGGAUAGUCACCACUUGUUAAAGGGUCCAAAAACCUACAAAACAAGAAAAUUCCAAAUAUUAGCCUAAUUAUAGCAUUAUAGAUAAAUAGUACUGCUAGCUAGGUAGUAUCAAUGUUACAAGUCAUAAGUAUACAUGAUGUAAUUGGGUUUAUGUAUAAUUUAAUAAGACACUUGCCAUCCAAACAUAAAAUCCAAAGAUCGUAAGGCAGCAUCUUUAUCUUGCUUUGACUCCGAAGCAGGCUCAAACCAGUAUGACACCAAUGUUAUCCCUAUCAAGCCUUUCUGAGAUGCCUACACAAAAAUAUGAAUUUUGGUUGAAUAAAUAGGAGUUAUAGAAAAAGAUACAACCUUUAGAUUAUCUUACUACUGAGAGUAUUCCCUCUUGUAUUACAACUCAAUAAUAAAGAUUCAUAUAGAAUUCUCGAUUAGGAGCCAAUAAUCUAACCCAAAAAACAAAAUAAAAAAAAAUAAAAAAACAGUUAUUGAACCUGAUAUCUAUUCUUGUACAAUUCUACAGCUGCUCCAUGAGCAAGAAGAAUGUGGUGUGUCACCAAGUAUGGUUCAAUGGCUGAAUCUCCACCGGUGCAGUUUAGGUUUUGCCAAGAAGAGCAGCGUCCCGGUGCUAGAGUCCCAACAGCAUAACCCAUGCUACUAAAAGUAUAUGGCUCAUUUACCGUGAACCAGUGCUUGACUCGAUCACCAAAUUCCUUAUAACAAAGUUCUGCAUAGUCUUUAAAAUGAUCGCUGCAGAUACAAAUUUAUGUUAAGUAUAUCAGUACGUAUUUUAUCAAAUUAUCAACGAGAAAAUAAAUUUUGUUCACUUACACAAUACGAGGGCUUAAGAAACCACCAUAUUCAUCUUCUAAAGCUUGGGGAACAUCCCAAUGAAAGAGUGUUACAAACGGCUUUAAACCUAUAAUACAUGAUCAGUAAAAUCAAAUUAAAAGUCUGAUUGAAUGAUGUUCUAAAAAUUCAUGUAAUAAUUGUUUAAGGUAGGAUAAUUAACCAUUGCGUAGGAGUUCAUUGAUGAGAUUGUUGUAAUAAUCAAUUCCUUUCCUGUUAACGCCACCACUUAACGUUCCAUCUAAUUAGAACAAAAAUAACAAGAAAAAAAAGGGUUACCCAGUAGAUAACUCGAUCACAUUACUUUAGUUAAUAGUAUAUAAAGAGAAUAAUUUUCUUGUAGGAAAAAUAAUUCUUAUGCACAAUAUUGUCAUUGGUCCCAACCAAAAAUGAGGACGUCGAGCAACUUACUUGGUAAUAAUCUGGACCAUGAAAUAGAUAAUCUGUAAGCAUCCAAAUUCAUAUCCUUCAUAAUCCCCACAUCUUCCUAGAAUGACAAAAGUUUAAAAUUAAAUAUUGAGGAUCUCAUUAUAUAUUGUUCUUUUUUUUUUUUUUUUUUUGUAAAGGCUCCAAUUUAUAAUGUUAACAUGUGCCCUUCAAGUAUAAAGGGUCGAGAGACAAAGUUAUGAGGUUUUAGACCUUAUAGCGGUGAUAUUGAUCUAUAGCGACAUCUCCGUUACUGCCAUCAUCGAUUUUUUCUGCAAUUAUUAUUAAAAAACAUAAUGGUGAAAUCCAUAUCAUGUGCAAAGUACUUUAUAUGCGUGCGCACUGAUGAUGAAGUAUAUACAUAUAUUGUACAUAUCACAUGACCACGUACUGUUGGUCUCCCAACAAAGUGCAUGGCUGUUAGAGAGGUUGGAGUUUACUUGUCCUCACGAAGAAAAGAAUGAGGUGCUAUUUCUACUCCUUUGAAAUGAAGUAGCAAAAGUUUUCAUAUUACCAAUUGAUUAAAUCACAGACCUGGAUGUUUGUGGGUGAAGGUAUCCCAUAUGCUUGGUCCUCUUCCAUCUUCUUUUACUGCACCUUCAUACUGAAAUACACACACAUGCAUAUACGUAAGAGUACUACUACACACGCAAGGAAGAUGACAACAUUAUAAUUCAUGCAUGGAUGCUAGCUGCAUGUAUAAAAUACACCAAAAAUGUGGUAAAUAAAGACAGAAGAUAUAUAUAUACUGACCUGGUAAGAUGCAGAACCUGUGCCAAAUAUGAACCCUGGUUCAAAACUGCUGCGAUUGAGAAAUUCGCAAUGAACAGGUGGAUCUGUAUUAGUUGCUUUGCCAUUUGUCAAUGCAAAGCCAAUGAGUAGCAGCACACCAAAGAGCAAAGAUCGUGAAUAUUUCAUUGCCAUAACUUGGGAGUUUUGAUAUCGAUCGAGAUAAUUAAGUUAUCUCCUCCGGGAAUAUUGCAUGGGGUUUAUAUAGAGAAAGGGAGGAAGGGAUAUGGUGUCUACGUACUAGCUCAUGAGAAUAAUAAAGGGUUAAAAUUUGUAAACAAAAUUGGCUUUGAAAGUCCUAGUUUAAAGACCAAGUCAAGGUAUAUUUCAAAAAAAAACAAAAGACCAAGUCAUGGUGUGUAGUUUAAAAGAAAGCACGUUUCAUGCACCCAAAAGUUGCGUAUAUACGUACGUAAAACAAUGGAUGAUCCUUGCGUUCUACCUAUGAGGAAUGCACAUAUUCUACAAAUUUUAUAUUGUGAUCGUUCAGUUUCUUAAUCUUUAUUUCAAAAUCAUCUAAACAAAAAGAAUUAUUUGAAUCUGAGAUAGUUUAGUCAUUUAAAUAUAUGAACCCAAUCGACAGUGUUGAUACUAAGUAAAAGACUUAUAUUGAACUAUUCAUUUUAUUGAUAUAUUUGGAUCACUAAACAGUCUUCAAUUUGAAUAGUUUUUUGUAUAUAUGAUAUUCAAAUUAAGAUUAAAAAAUUAAUAACUCAUUCAAACAGUAGAAAACUAUUUGACUCGCAAAAAAGUAGAAAAUUUUGACCAGAAUUCUUUAUGUAAGUACAUAACCGAUAAAGAUGAAGAAUUUAAUCUUGAUCUUUUUCUUCUUGUUAGAGUUUUAGUAUUGAAUCGGUAAACCCAGUGGUUUUGUGAAAUUGUCCUUCCACUCUGAUUAAGAAGGCAUCGAGAUAGCUAGGUUCUCAAGUUGGCUAUUUUGCUCCUAAAGAUUGUGAAAGGAUUCCAUUGGGGUGGCUUUUUCGAAGGUUUGGACACCCUUCAAAGUAUAGUGGUUACACAUUCUUCUUGCUAGUACAAGAAUGAGAAUAGUAAAGGGUUAAAAUUUGUAAACAAAAUUGGCUUUGAAAGUCCUAGUUUAAAGUCCAAGUCAUGGUCUGUAAUUUAAAAGAAAGCACGUUUCAUGUACCCAAAAGUUGUUUACGUACGUAAAAGAAUGGAUAAUACUUGCGUUCCACCUAUGAGGAAUGCACAUAUUCUACAAAUUUUAUAUUGUGAUCGUUCAGUUUCAUAAUCUUUCCUUGCAGAUCAUCUAAACAAAAACAAUUAUAUGAAUAUGAGAUCGUUUAAUCAUUUAAAUAUAUGAACCCAAUCGACAGUGUAGACACUAAGUAAAAGAUUUAUAGCGAACUAUUCAUUUUAUUGAUACAUUUGGAUGACUAAACGGUCUUUAAUUUGAGUAGUUUUUUGUAUAUAUGAUAUUCAAAUUAAGAUUAAGAAAUUAAUAACUUAUACUACAAAAAUACAUUAUUUAUAAAAAAAAAAUAUUCCUUGAGUUGAAAAGUAAGAUAAUGUACACAACAAUUCGAUCGAUCUCAUCUUAAUUUGAAAUGAUCAAUCCUUGAGUUACCCUUGAGUUUUCCAGCAAAAGAAAAUGUUUUCUGUAUUCGGAAACAAAGAGUCAUUUAUCUGCAUGUUUAUAUUAUGUCUGUCCAACUGUUGAAGGGCAUAACUUUUGAAGUUGAAUAUGGACGAUUAGCUACAGAGACUUAUUCAAACUACAGAAAACUAUUUGACCCAACAAAAAAAGUAGAAAUUUAUGACCGUAAUUCUUUACGUAAGUACAUAAUCGAUAAAGAUGAAGAUUUUAAUCUUGAUCUUUUACUUCUUGAUAGAGCUUUAAUAUUGAAUCCGUGAACCCAAUGGUUUUGUGAAAUUGUUUUUCCACGCUAAUUAAGAAGGCAUCGAAAUAGCUAGGUUCUCAAAUUGGCUAUUUCGCUCCUAAAGAUUGUGAAAGGAUACCAUUAGGGUGGCUUCUUCUUGGUAGUACAAGAAAUUGAUUAGCUGUUUCAAGAGACUGGUUUUUUAUUAGCUUACAUCUAUUUAUUUUGAUUUAAUAUUUUUUUACAAUUCAAAAACACAAAAUUUUGACCCCCCUCUAAUUUUUCUAAUUUUUUUCUUUAUUUGAAUUUUCGGGACUUAUAUUGAAUUUUAAUGUGUGUCUCACAACCUGAAGGGAUUGGGAGGGAGGAUCAUUUCAUUUUUGGAUAUAGAACGAAUAGGUUCAGGAGAUGAGAGAAUUAAGGAUACCCACCAGAAACACUAAUCCAAUGCAUAAUGAUGUGCCGAAAAAUGGAACAUUUUUGUUACCCCACCAACCCUCAGGAGAAGCAAAU